UCACAUUUCUGAGAAUAUAGUUCCCAGUAUGUAUACAGUUAGAAGAUGGCUGUGUCUCAUGUGACCUUCCUAUUUGUACACCCUGUGACUAUACAAAUAUGUAAAGAGGAACAUGUUGGUGUUAUUUUGUCACUUAUUGGGAGCCGGUUACCUCCAGGAUCUGUGCUGAGGUGGGCUAGCGGUGGGUGCGUCAGACAGAGUUACGACACACGGCGAUGAGAAGGGUAUGUAUGGACUUAUCUACCUCUGGGGAUACGGAGAAUAAGCUAAAGUCCCAAUAAGUCGGUGUGU
This is a long non-coding RNA of Etheostoma cragini (Arkansas darter), 291 nucleotides long. RefSeq lists it as uncharacterized. NCBI's taxonomy places the organism in Eukaryota, Metazoa, Chordata, Actinopteri, Perciformes, Percidae. The transcript has 4 exons. The record is from RefSeq and is a predicted model, not a curated record.